Molecule: long non-coding RNA, 1339 nt
Organism: Misgurnus anguillicaudatus (oriental weatherfish)
Lineage: Eukaryota; Metazoa; Chordata; Actinopteri; Cypriniformes; Cobitidae
Source: RefSeq, a predicted model, not a curated record
CGAUCUUCCUCGCUCCCUCUGUUUCCGCGGUUACCAGCCGUUCUGUUUGGUUAUGCAAUGCACGCCGCUCUCAGGCUCUGAGAUGGGACCUAUAACCACACGGCUGCCAUCGGCUACGGACAGAAAACGGCAGGGUGGAGAGCUCGCCGCCGCAGGUCGCCGAUCUCCAGAACGUAGCCAGCCUCGGACCGGAGGCAUUUGCAUGCAUCUGUAGCUCUUCGGCACCCGCGGAUAAAAAAGGAGGGCAAGAAGGAAAAGGCGAGAGAAGGUGACGACGUUUGGCCAGCUGGCCCUCAUGUUGCCGCCAGCCCAGAUAUGCCUCUUCUGUGAUGAGACCACAGCAUGCUGGAUCUUCCCCCAGAUCUCACACGCCGUAGGAUAAGCAUCCUGGAGCCAGAGGUGGAUGUUAAGAAUGGGGACGACCACUGUCAGUAUAGAAGACGUUCGGGCGCAAGAGGGUAAAGAGGAGAGAGAGGAGUCCAUCUUGGCCCUGCUCGGAAUCAUCGGCACCUUCCUAAACCUCUUCGUCAUUGUGUUUGUUUACAUCUACACCACCCUGUGAGGAAAAGGACCACGUGGUAGGGGGCAGGUGUAAGGUGGAGUCAGACAGAGGUAUGACAGAGGGGUUGACGUCUCACAGGAAGGAAUGUGGAAGAUGACACUGGAUGGGUAGAGUGACGCUACUCUUGAACUCUGACUUUUAACGCAAAGCAAGAAAGAAGGGCGGAAUAUAUUAUUGCAAAACAUUCUGAUGGACUCCAAGACAGUGGACUUUACAUCACAAACAGGCCUCUAUGGACAAACACAGAAUGAUUUUGGAUAUGACAGAUUCAUAAGCUUACAGGACAGGAUGGUGAUGGGCCGAGGGACUUUAUGUUUCGCCAGUAACGGAAAUUACGUCAGGCACUGUCUGGCUUUGAUUACAAGGACAGACAUGCACAGAAAGAUCCAAUUAGAUUUACACAGGCCAAUGAAAAGGCUGCUUUUAAACUGUACAACUCAUCCACCAAUGGGACGAGCUUUGCAAUACAGAGAAAGAAUGGAAGACUUUAAGUAUGAAAUAUUUUUGUAAUAAAAUAAAACGACGAGACACAGACAUGGCUGAUCCGUCAGCAAACAUUUGGACCUGUGAACACGAUACUCUUUUUCAUCACAAUCCUUUCCUUUUUCUGACUGGCAGAGGGACGCCAAACAGACGAAUAUCAGUGUGUUUUCUGACUAAAGGUGUUUCUGUGAAAAUGAAAAGCUUUUGUAUCGACAACCGAUUACAUAUUAGAUGUACUGUGUCAUAGAAAAUCUCAUAAAUAAAAUGAUAUUCUAUUCUAUCGACUAGGUUGUU